CAGCAAUGGAAGACUUACCAAAAUGCAGGAGCUGAGCCCAGACACUCGACCUGCCAAUACAACUGUGACAUUGAUCUACAGACAAAAGAGUGACCAAUACCCUGAUGGCCAUUAUGAUGUGCACAUCAAUAACCAGACAGUGAUUAUAGAGAGUGAGGGCAAGAGCUGUUUGUUUCAUGCUUUGGCACGGGGUAUGAAACCAGAAGGCAGCUCUGCCGAGAUCGCUUUGAAAGCAGACUGCCUUCGAUCUGUGGAGGCUGAUGCUCUCCUCAGUAACCCAGGCCAAUGGGAGCCUUUCCUCAAGCACAAAGAGUUGACUGAAUCAAUCAGGGGAGGGGACUGGUACGUGGCAGAAGUAGCUGCACCCAAAAAGGCCAUAGAAGAAAGCAAAAGGUUACACCAGGAAGAGUUUGGAAAAGUAGAGUUAUACCAAGAAUGGCAAAAAUAUACAAAGAAAAACAAGGAACACAAUCCUCAGCGUCCUCUACUGAACAGUAACAACAACUGAGAACAAGACUGGUGAACAAUCAAACAAUUCUUCCGCCUGUCUGAUCAUCAUCAAGAGACCUCUCUAUUAUGAUAUGAUACUUUUAAUUCAGUUUUUUUUUUACUUUAUUGAAGACAAAAAUACAAAAAACCACACACAUUUACCUCAAUUUGGACAUUGAGGCAAUUUUUCAAUUUAGUUUUAAUUUAGAUCUUUUGAUUCUGUAGUAAAACAUACAUAUUUAAUACAGGUAAGACGGCAUAAGAAUCAUACAUACUGUUAGAAAUCCUUAGUCCUAAAUGCUGUUUAGGAUUAGGUAAGGUAGGGCCGUUUGAUUUCUUUCUAAAAGAUUAUUUUCAGACUUCAAACAAAUUUUGACAUGAUCAGAAAUCAGUAAAGUAUAAAGGUCAAAUAUUCAAUUCUAAGGUAUUUCCAGACACAAUAGCAAAGGAUAGCAUAUUUUAGUCGACUGCAUUAUUAAUCAGUCAGGAAAAAAGAAAGGUUAGCCUGUCUACAUGUCCUUCUGUUGUCAGUUUCCAAGUAUAUUCCCAGUUACUGCCCUAUAGUGUAACUCUAUCUAAUAUGUAAUCUUUUUUCAACAAAAAAGUCAUUUAUUUUCAAUGCAAUUUGAUUAUUACAUUGAUUAUAUUGUUUUGCUUAUUUACAAAACCAAUUCCAAGUAUUUGGGAUUCUGUGUAAAAUGGAAAUAGAAACCAAAUACAAUGAUUUGCAGAUAUUAUAAGUUCAUAUAUCUACAUUUCAGCCUUGUGAAUGCUGCCAAUUCCAUUAUUGCUGCCUAAUGGGGGAAAGAUAUCCAAUUGUGAUUUUUUGCUUUGAUCACUGUACAAUUUUUUUUCCAGACUCUGAAUUUUUUAAUGAUGUUGGCAUAUCUUUCUAAUUUUGGACAUAGUUAUAUUGUUCUGAAAUAGUUCCAUAAUUUAAAGGCAGUUUCUUGCAGAUUGGUGAACCUCUACCCAUCUUAACUUCUGAGAUUUUCUUUUUUUUUAAUACCCGGUCAUGUUAGUGACCUGUUGUCAAUUCAUAUAAUUAGUUCCAAAAUGUUGCUCCAGUUGUUUUAAGUUUAGUACCACCCUCUUGUUGUUCUUUCCCAACCUUUUUGAGACAUGUUGCUACUAUUAAAUUCAAAAUGAGCUAAUAUUUUUCAUAAAAUUCUGAACUAUGUCUCAGUUUAAACAUUUAAUAUAUUUUUACAUUUUAUUAAGACCAUUGCUUUCUUUUUGUAUUUAAUUUUCUAGCUUUUUAAAAAAAAAUGGUUUGUAAUCUGAUGUAUCUCUUCUGUGUGCAAGACUACUUAAUUAAUUUGAUUGUUCAAUAACAUAUAAUCAAACAAAAGUAUUAAUCAAUUGACUUAUAUGGAAUUGUUUAUAUAUGUGUCAACCAAUAAAUGGAAAUUAAGUAAUGAUGUAAUAACAAGAGAUGAUGUAAUGUUCUUUAUCAGCAUCAGGCAUUAUCAUUAAAGUGUUUCAAAU
Long non-coding RNA from Astatotilapia calliptera (eastern happy), 1977 nucleotides. The record is from Ensembl. Lineage: Eukaryota; Metazoa; Chordata; Actinopteri; Cichliformes; Cichlidae.